This is a long non-coding RNA of Lepidothrix coronata (blue-crowned manakin), 1715 nucleotides long. RefSeq lists it as uncharacterized. Lineage: Eukaryota; Metazoa; Chordata; Aves; Passeriformes; Pipridae. The transcript is spliced from 5 exons. The record is from RefSeq and is a predicted model, not a curated record.
CCGCCGUGAGGGACCGUGUGCGCCACUCGAGCUGCUCCUCACCGCGGUGCUGGGCGCUGCUGUUAAACACUCACUCCUGGUUGCUGUUUCUCUCGUGGUUUAUUUGUAUUUUAAAAGUAGUCAGGAUGCGGUUUUCCCCCCCUUCUGACGCGUGGGAAGCAAAGCCGGUGGCUCGUGUCUAACAGCUAAAGGAGAACAGCCACGCGAGCUGCCGGUCAAACUGCGUCCAACAGCAAAAGGGACCAUUCAAUCUGAAUGAAACCAGAAAUUCCAUAUUUCAACAAAAGGUGAUGACAAAGAAAAACCUCCUGGAAGCUAACUGUUGGAUAUGGGAUGAUGGAGACCAAGAUAAUUGAAUCAACAGAAAAAGUGUGAAACAGCUCAAAGGACUUUUCAACCAAUCCACAAGUUCCCGUGCUCAUGACAGAGGUCACAUUGUUGCCCAUUUUGAUUCAGAAGGAAAGGUGGCCUGGCUCACUACCUGGCAAAGCCAUACAGAAGUUAUCAUCUGGAAAGGCAAGAGCUGAGCUGGUGUAGCAACAGACGAUCCUUGUAAAGAAACAGUUCCAAAAUCCAGAAGAAUCCCACAGCACUACACAGUAAAUUCAAGCCAAACAACAUUUGGCUUUGCUCUGCUGAAGCACACAGCUACAAGUGUUUUGUUUCCAAGUUGUAAAGUCUAUCCCUAGCCCUCCAGUGAGAAAGAACAGUCAGAUUAUAAACUCAGGACUGUUCCACAUCAGCAGAUCCCAUUUGUAUAUUCCAUUGAGCUCCCAACAGAAAGUAAUAAACACACUGAUAACCUAACUAAACCUCCAUCUAGCCUUUGCCAAACUAUCAAAGGAUCUAUGAAAAUAAAAAGGAAUCCCCAGCCGUGCUCAGUAACCACAACUAUUGCCUGCUGAACCUCUCAGGUGUGCACUGCCUGCUCCAUGCUCAGGGAGAGGUAGAACCUGUGUCAACACUAUAGCUGUACAUCCCCAGCCCCACCCCAUGUUCCUAGGAGGCCACAGCAAGCGACUUGUAGGUGAGAAGGUGGCUGUAAAACAAGCUGACAUUUCUAGGAAGAAAUGAAUACACCACGCACACAUACAAAAUGUUACACUUUUGUUUGAUUGUUUGUUUUGAAAGACUGUUUUCUACUAAAAAUUUUUAAUUGUAAAUAGUCUUUUUUUAGUGGUAUGCCAGUGGAAGGAAUUUGUCUCCUAACUUUUAGAAUUGUAUUUGUAUAAGUAUAAUGAUGAGAGAACUAAAUCUCUGACUGUACAGUUAUGUCAGAAUGCAUCUUACCCAUGUAAACCGUGUAAAGAAAAGUUGAACAUUUCUUGCCCUUGCUGCAUUUGAGCAACAGUGUUAUUAACUCAGCCCAACCCUUUCUCCUUUAGAAGGCACAAAGAGGGGCUGUUAAAACAGUGCAGUUAAGAGUGAAGAAAAAUAAUUACAUCAUGUGAUGAUGGAAUCUUGAUACCACAGACAUUUGAAUGGAAAAUUUCUACUUUCAUAGCAAGGUUAUGACGGAACACCCAAUUUCAUGUCCUUUUUUCCCCCUACAAAAAUAUCUGGAUUCAUAUUUGAUAUUCCUUAAUAUUUCUUUUUCUCUUUUAUAAAUUUUUACUUAUAUAUGUUCAUGUCUGUGUAUAGAAACAAAAAACUGUUCUGGUUUUCAAAUAAAACCACUUAAGAUUCAGUUUUAAAAAGAAGGAAUUUAGAAAAUA